Molecule: ribosomal RNA, 421 nt
Filed under: uncultured bacterium
Lineage: Bacteria
Description: bacterial SSU rRNA
Rfam family: Bacterial small subunit ribosomal RNA
Source: RNAcentral
GAGGAAUAUUGGGCAAUGCCCGCAAGGGUGACCCAGCAACGCCGCGUGGAGGAUGAAUGUCGUAAGAUUGUAAACUCCUGUUAGAGGGGAAGAAUAGUACCGGUUGGACCGGUAUAUGACUGUACCCUCAGAGAAAGCCCCGGCUCACUACGUGCCAGCAGCCGCGGUAAUACGUAGGGGGCAAGCGUUGUCCGGAUUUACUGGGUGUAAAGGGCGCGCAGGCGGGAUAAAAAGUCAGUGGUGAAAUCCUACAGCUUAACUGUAGAACGGCCUUUGAUACUUUUAUUCUUGAGUUCGGGAGAGAGAGACGGAAUUCCGGGUGUAGUGGUGAAAUGCGUAGAUAUCUGGAAGAACACCAGUUGCGAAGGCGGUGUCUUGGUCCGACACUGACGCUGAGGCGCGAAAGCGUGGGGAGCAAACA